This 254-nucleotide ribosomal RNA is filed under the name uncultured bacterium. RNAcentral describes it as "partial 16S ribosomal RNA". It matches the Rfam family "Bacterial small subunit ribosomal RNA", at positions 524 to 776 of the family's 1533-position model. The record is from RNAcentral.
UACGUAGGGGCCUAGCGUUGUCCGGAAUUAUUGGGCGUAAAGAGCUCGUAGGCGGUUCGGCAAGUCGGAUGUGAAAUCUCCACGCUUAACGUGGAGGGGCCAUUCGAAACUGCUGUGACUCGAGUCCGGUAGGGGAGUGUGGAAUUCCUAGUGUAGCGGUGAAAUGCGCAGAUAUUAGGAGGAACACCGGUGGCGAAGGCGCCACUCUGGGCCGGAACUGACGCUGAGGAGCGAAAGCGUGGGGAGCGAACAGG